Molecule: long non-coding RNA, 152 nt
Organism: Pipistrellus kuhlii (Kuhl's pipistrelle)
Lineage: Eukaryota; Metazoa; Chordata; Mammalia; Chiroptera; Vespertilionidae
Exons: 2
Source: RefSeq, a predicted model, not a curated record
AAGAACUUGUCAAAGACUGCUGAACAGCUAUGAAAAUGUGGAAACAAACACCCCUGGUGAAUGAAAAAGCUCACCAAUUUGGAACAGGUUUCAAAAGACAAAACUCAGCAUUUCUUGUUGAGCAUGGCAUAUAUUACAGAGAGUCCCACCCC